UCAACGCGAAGAACCUUACCAGGUCUUGACAUCCCUUGCUAAUCCUAGAAAUAGGACGUUCCCUUCGGGGACAAGGUGACAGGUGGUGCAUGGUUGUCGUCAGCUCGUGUCGUGAGAUGUUGGGUUAAGUCCCGCAACGAGCGCAACCCUUAUUAUUAGUUGCCAGCAUUUAGUUGGGCACUCUAGUGAGACUGCCGGUGACAAACCGGAGGAAGGUGGGGAUGACGUCAAAUCAUCAUGCCCCUUAUGACCUGGGCUACACACGUGCUACAAUGGCAUAUACAACGAGUCGCCAACCCGCGAGGGUGCGCUAAUCUCUUAAAGUAUGUCUCAGUUCGGAUUGUAGGCUGCAACUCGCCUACAUGAAGUCGGAAUCGCUAGUAAUCGCGGAUCAGCACGCCGCGGUGAAUACGUUCCCGGGUCUUGUACACACCGA
This 436-nucleotide ribosomal RNA is filed under the name uncultured Weissella sp. RNAcentral's name for it is "bacterial SSU rRNA". It matches the Rfam family "Bacterial small subunit ribosomal RNA", at positions 956 to 1393 of the family's 1533-position model. Lineage: Bacteria; Bacillati; Bacillota; Bacilli; Lactobacillales; Lactobacillaceae. The record is from RNAcentral.